CUCCUGUCGUUAAGAUAAAUUCUCCAGUAGACAACCUCUCCCACUAAUUGUGUAUUAGCAACGUAUUUUAUCUUGAGAGCUUGUACACUGGGCUCUCAACGUGGUGUGGAAGGUAGCCUGUUACAGUGCUGGAUUCAUAAAAGGGCCUUUAUGGUUUGUGAAAGAAUAUCUGUGUGCUUAGGGAGGAAACUUUUUGAUCUGCAGAAAAGCCAGAAGACAUCUAGGACAUCCAUAAAAAUUCAUCAGAGAGCAUUUUACUACUGAGCUGCAAAGGGAAAAACUUAAAAUGGAUAUGAAAAGUGAAGAAAGUGAUCAUAGGAGAAAACCAUUUCAGGUGUCUGAUGAUUUGUGAGCCUCAAGUGACUACUCUGUGGAAUCAUCUGUCCUUGCCUUUGAAUUCGCUUUCCCUAGGCCAUGGGUCAACAUUAGUAGUUUAUACAUCCAAAUUGAUGACAAGAGCACCUCAAAGGCAGCAGCCUCAAGGAGCAGCCAUGGCCCCAGACUUGUCGCACGGAUGCAGAAAACUUAAUGGAGGAGGCUGAGGUCAGAAUGGGAAGAG
This 559-nucleotide long non-coding RNA is filed under the name Pan troglodytes (chimpanzee). Its description in RNAcentral is "lincRNA". The record is from RNAcentral. Lineage: Eukaryota; Metazoa; Chordata; Mammalia; Primates; Hominidae.